Molecule: long non-coding RNA, 715 nt
Organism: Neoarius graeffei (lesser salmon catfish)
Lineage: Eukaryota; Metazoa; Chordata; Actinopteri; Siluriformes; Ariidae
Exons: 3
Source: RefSeq, a predicted model, not a curated record
ACCAAAAGCAUACUUGAAGCUGAGUAUUUCAUCACAUACUCCUACACAGCGGAAAUCCUGCCAAGGAGAGCCCACGUAACUGCAAGACUGAAUGCCUGUACCGAUAGGGUUAAGGAGCCUUACCCAGGGGAACAACAGAGGCGCCUGGGACUCGAACCAACAACCAUCUAAACAGUAAAGCAGAGACGCAGCCCACUGACCAACACAAUGCAUGAGUUAAAUGAAAGCAUCAUGGAUGCCUGCCUCGCGCGCGCUGCUUUGGGAUGCGCUCUGGGCUCGGAUUCUCGCGCACGCGCUUAUCAGAACCUGCUGGGGCCGACCACGUGACUGCCAGCAAACAGCGAGUACGUCACACCUCAUCUGGUUGUGAGGAAGAGCAGCGCGAGCGCAGGCCGGAGAAAGAGCGCUCGCGACCAAAUCCUGUACCUUGUGAUUGUGUGAGGUCAUAUUAUUAGAUGUGCCAGCUCUACAAGAUCAAUAUCUAUUAUAUAUUUAUUUCAAGUGUAAUCAUAUAGGAAUAGGUAGUUAUUGUAAGUCAAAUAUAAUAAGAACAACGAUAAUCGGAAUAAGAAUAAGAAUAUCGGUGUACACCUGGCUGGUGGCCUGCGUUUUCCCACAAAGUUACAAAAAUACUGCCCUCUUGUGGUCAGUCACAUGCAGUGCAUUAAAACAAGCUGUAGAUUUGCAAAUCAGUAAGUAAAUAAAAAUAAACUUU